AGUGCAUAGUAAAGACACUACUUCUUUAAUGAUGUACUUUUAUGUGGCAUAUUACUACUUAAUGGUCAAGAGCCAGCUAUAUAUUAGACAGUGGCUACUGAUCAUAAUGUCCUGGCAAGUUGGGUUUCCUAAGAAAAUGGUUGGCAGGGUUGGCAGAACUCUUGCGACUAAACAUAAGGCACAGAAUCAGAACUGGUAUAGUCUGUAAUCUUUUUUUUUUGUACCGGGGAUCGAACUCGGGACCUUAUGCUUGCGAGGCAGGCAGCAGAACCACUGAGCUAAAAGCCCUGGCCCUUAAGUCUGUAAUCUUAAAAGCAGUUACAGUUAAGCUUUUCCAGUGGUACAAAAUCAUGAUAGUUUAUUUUGUAGUUACUGAGCAAGAGUUGCUCACCUUAAGGGAGGAACUUUCUUUUCCAAAGGCCAUGAGAAUGGCCGAAACAAAAAGAUUAAUGAUCACAAGAACCAUAAGUGAUGUGACACUGGUGAGGAUCAGGAAGGAGCUGAGUGACUGACAGUUGAGUUUCUACCUCACAGACAAGCUAUGUGCUACAUAUGGUACAUGUUCUUGAGCCAACAUUUGUUAGAAAGUAGGAAGAGGUGCCAAAAGAUACUAAAUUUUAAGUGGACAUACAAGAAAGAAUGACCGAAUCUAAAGAUACUAAAGUAUUUUGACCUCACAGCUUUUACAGGAAGAAAACAAUUGAAUUGUAGUGGAAUUGUAAGUUACUCAAAUUCCAUCUGAGUUUUGGCAGUUCUGGAAAAUAUGUCUGAACAUGGAAGCCUCGGGUCUUGCAAACACACCUGGAAAUAAUCCACACCAGAAGUGAUCAUGAAAACCACCUCUGCCACCAUGAGAAGUUUCUCUGAACACAGGAGGGUUCCAAUUAAAACAAAACCACACAGAAAGCCAGCCUUUUAGUAUGAUUUUUUCCAGUAGUCCUUUUUAAAGACUGAAUUCCGUCCUCCUUUGCUUUUCUGCAUGAAAGAUUCUUUACAAAUUUAGGUCUUACCUAGAAUGGUUUCUAUAUGAUCCUUAUUUUCCCUUGCUAUUUGCCCAUUCAUUUAAAACUGGGGCACUGUUUAAAAUCCUAAGAACUCAUUGGACGAUUACCUGCAACACCACUGUGAAAAAAAAUCUGUGAUAAAAUUUAUUUCCAAGCACCAGUGUAUCAUCCACUUAAAGUGUGUUUCAUUGUAACCAAAUUCCUGUUGACCAAUUGAUUUGGGGAGUCUGUGGUGCAAGAUUUUUUCUCCUUAAGUUUUUUCUAUUCAUGUUGCACAAUCACAUUGAAAGCAACGGUAUUGUAUAUAUUUAUGGGGUACCAUGUGAUGUUUUUAUUGAUUAAUGCUUUAAUCAGGGCAAACCUCUCAACCAUUUCUUUUUGAUGAACCUACUUUGCCCUUUGUGUUGAACAGAAAGAUGGGUUUGUAUUGGUAGUUCAUGGGGAAAAUAGGCUUACUGAAAUGAAUAUUAACUAAACAGAAAUAAUGCAGUUCAAAUGCAGUGAAUGGCAGCAAGUCCCCUGUCAUCUCCAGACCAAAAUCCCAUACCCUCAUCACAGCCCAGUGCCAAUGGCAUCCAGACAGAAGGGAGAGACUAUGAUAGGCUUAAUAAACAUUUUUUUUUUGGAAGCAACAUUUUAGAUGAAAUGAGAAAAGAAUCCACAAAACUAAAGAAAGCUCAUUGAUGCAAUUAGGCAAGAUCUGAGCAACUACUGCAUAGAAAAGCAAAAGGAGAGAGGGACAACUUUAAUCUGGAGCGGGGGGAAAAAAAUCCUACAAACAGUAACCUUCAAUAACAACCCCAUAUGAUUUUGUGACCGAAAAAAGAAAAUGGAGAUAAGCAGACAGAAGGAGGGAACCAGCCAUCCUCUGAAAGCCUCAGACAUUGUGAUUCUGUGAUCACUGUCCUUCCUCUCUGCUGGCUGCUUGUCUCCCCCACAGGAUGGAAGAGCAGUAGAUGAAUUCCUCCAAACAAAAUACACAGAAAAUGUGAAGAUCUGACAGACAAGAACAUUGUGCAUUGGAAUAUUUUCACAUUGAGAUAAAGCCUCACAUUUUACACAGCCCAUUGCGGAAAUAAAGAAAAAGGUUUAUGGGGAAAAGAAUGCAGUUCUUUCUGGGAAUGUACCUCCCUAAAGUUACUAACCUUAUACAGUUUCAAAGAGCCAUAGAAAAAGCAGCAACUUGUCAUUCUGCCUAGGGAUAAACACAGGUUUGGGCCCAUUUUCCUUUGGCAGUAUGACUGAGGAUACAGGAAAUAAGGAAGACAGACAGUGCUGAAAGUAACAGCCAUUCAAAAGCUAUAUCCAUAGGUAUUCCCUGUAAAACAGAAUAGCAGAGUCUUAAGUUCUCCCUUCUCUGAUUGGUUUUUAUGGGCAGUUCCCCUCAAGUUAAGAGUUGUUAGGCUAAAUAGAAUUCUGCAGAGAAACCAUGAUUUCCUUACCUCUUUGUGGUGAGAAAUUCUCAUCAGAGCAGCUACUGAACCGAAGAAAGCCCAGCAGUCAGAGGUACACCAUCUAAGCCUCGGGUUAAGCUGAACAAAAGGAGAAAGCAGUCAGUGAGAGCCAACUGCAGUUCUGUCCUGAGGACAUGGAACCAAUGGAAUGUAAACUUGUGGUGGACAAAUUACUAUACUUGGAAAAUGCACAAAAUUGCUUUGUAAUUGCAUAGUAUUUUCAUAUAAAUUAGACUUUCACAUUA
RNAcentral lists this long non-coding RNA (2703 nucleotides) under Heterocephalus glaber (naked mole-rat). RNAcentral's name for it is "lncRNA (ENSHGLG00100039372.1)". The record is from RNAcentral. Lineage: Eukaryota; Metazoa; Chordata; Mammalia; Rodentia; Bathyergidae.